Molecule: non-coding RNA, 1176 nt
Filed under: Pan troglodytes (chimpanzee)
Lineage: Eukaryota; Metazoa; Chordata; Mammalia; Primates; Hominidae
Source: RNAcentral
UGAGAGGAUUUCUUUAUUUCGCGCGUUCAGACCCAACACACUCGGACACCUUGGGGCCCUGUGAGGGCUAAGCAGGGUGGUGGCGUCAGCUCCCGGGGAGGCCCCACUCCCUGGGGAGGAAAUACACGGCAGGGGGCCGCACCCAGCCCCGCACGGAGGGACCCGUGUUGCUCUAACAGGGACACUGAAGUUGCCUCUGACGCCCCGUGAGGGGCCUGUGGCAGCCCCAGACCCAGCCCAGCCAGGCCAGAGGAGCCUCCCAGGGGCCCUCAGGUGGUCAGGUGGGGGCUUCCCGGCCCCGGUGCCCGCCGGCCCUUCUAGCUGCCUGUGCUGGGCCAGGUGUCCUCUGAGGCCGGCAGGAGUCUGGCCCCUGCUGCACCUGCGCUUGGUGGCUGGCAGGGGCGGGGUAGGGAGGUCACCCCCGAGGCCGGGGUCCCCAUGUGCUAGGGGAAGACCUGCCUUCCCAGCCAGUGUCCACAGGGCAGCCAUUCCACACUCUGAGGCUCAGGGACCAAGGCAGGGCUGGGUGUGGGGCCCAGACUCCAAGCUCUGGGGGUUGGGGGACCAAGGCAGGGCUGGGCAUGGGGCUCAGGGCCUUGGAGGUUUUUCUCAGCUCUCAACAUCACAGCACAGGGCCCGUGAGUCACCCCAGUCCUCUGGGCCCGUGUACCCAAGCCGGAUGCAGGCCGGGGAGUGCACGUGGGGCUCCUCUGUGGCACCAAUGUGAAGCUGCUCUCCGGGGCGGUCGCAGCCUCCAAACCCUGGUGCUACGAGUCCGUGCCUCAGGCCCAGGGACCACAGGCCGUCUGCUCAUGGCUGAAAAUGAGGCCAAGCAGCUCCCAAGUCUCGAAGACUCCACUGGUUGUGGAGGCAGAGGGGCCCUUCCAGGGCAGGGCAGCCCUCGGGGCAGCAGCAGGGGCAAGGGCUCUGUCUCACGCACACGGGCACAGGCACGCAGGUGCCGGCCCUGCCGCUGGCUCCCAAGAGGCCGACAGCCCGGUAGGGAGGUCACACUCACACAGCUGAUCCCUGGAGGUAAAGAAACCUAGACGAGGAGAGCGGAGGCUGGGCCUGCGCAAGGAGGCGCCAAGGGGGGAGACCACUGCCCACAACAGGGUCAGUCCCGCGAGACGGUCAGUUCCGCGCCUGCCGCCCGCCCAGCUGCAGGGUGCUCGC